Molecule: microRNA, 21 nt
Filed under: Monodelphis domestica (gray short-tailed opossum)
Lineage: Eukaryota; Metazoa; Chordata; Mammalia; Didelphimorphia; Didelphidae
Description: mdo-miR-7373d-3p
Source: miRBase by way of RNAcentral
UAGCAAUAAUGAAGGGCUUGC